AUGCAGCAUCUACUCAUAGUGGUGAUGGGCAAGAAGCACCGUGGUCCAGCUGAUGGUGUCGCGGUUCUGCUCGGGCGCCAUCGCCUGAAGGUCGCUGUUGCCGGUGUGGUCUCGCCGCCAUGGAUACCAGAGGAGGAAGAGGCGCUCUUCCAUGUCGGCUACAGGAGAAAGAGGAGGAGGAGGCGCUUCUCCGGCCAGACCCGGGGUCGGGGCCGGCACGCCACAGGCAUCUACGCCUACGACCACGACCACACGCACGGGCUGACGCUGCUGAUGAAGAUGCGUACCCUUAGCCACGAAUUUGUCCCCGAUCCCAUCCAUGCAGGUGGGCUUCGCUGCCAUGGAAUGACACCUCUGAUCUCCCAUGUAGAUGAGCUCGGGUUCAUGGAAGCCAUGUCCAUAAAGCAAACUGAGUGCUUCGAAGGAGGAUUUGCAAAAGAUGAGAUUUCAAAUGGCUUGAAUAGGAAGAGAUGCAGAUCAUUAUUCUGGACAGAUUUACCAAUUAGAAGAACCAUAUCUUCCCCGCGAGGCGCUACAGAUCACAUGGGCACUGUCAUGAAGGCCGCGAAGGCGUGGCCGGCGGCAUGGGUUAGCCUGUGGGUGGUACCACCAUGCUGCUCUCGACGUGCAUUGUGGUGCUGCUCGUGGCGGCUUUCGGAGGGAGACAAAGUGCAUUAUGCUUUCAGUGCUACAGACUUUGGAAACUGGUGUUCUAACGUUAGUUCCGACAAGAGGGCCACUAUAACCACCAUCUGGUCAGAGUUUCGUCGCUGCGCCAACAUUCGUGAAGGAGACGUCUGUGCAUUCCAUUUCAGGAUCACUUCAAAGCGCUGCCUGGUUUUCACCGUGCACCGCCUCUAG
Molecule: ribosomal RNA, 861 nt
Filed under: Triticum aestivum (bread wheat)
Lineage: Eukaryota; Viridiplantae; Streptophyta; Magnoliopsida; Poales; Poaceae
Description: partial small subunit ribosomal RNA
Source: RNAcentral